RNAcentral lists this ribosomal RNA (322 nucleotides) under Sandonidae sp. RNAcentral describes it as "SSU rRNA". The stretch from base 113 to 322 matches the Rfam family "Eukaryotic small subunit ribosomal RNA", at positions 745 to 955 of the family's 1831-position model. Lineage: Eukaryota; Cercozoa; Glissomonadida; Sandonidae. The record is from RNAcentral.
GAUUUCUGGCUUGAAACAUUUAGCCGGCCACGGUUUCGUGUGUUAGUGCUUGAUGUUCUGGCCAUCCUUCCAAUUGCUAUUCAUCUUUCUUCAUUGAUGGGUGAGUGGUAUUGGAUCUUUUACUUUGAAAAAAUUAGAGUGUUUAAAGCAGGCUUGCGCUAUGAAUACAUUAGCAUGGAAUAAUAAUUUAGGACUUUUGUUCCUGUUUUGUUGGUUUAUUGGACGGAAGUAAUGAUUGAUAGGGAUAGUUGGGGGUGCUAGUAUUCAGCGGCCAGAGGUGAAAUUCUUGGAUUCGCUGAAGACUAACUUAUGCGAAAGCAUU